GAUGAAGAACGCAGUGAAAUGCGAUAAGUAGUGUGAAUUGCAGAAUUCCGUGAAUCAUCGAAUCUUUGAACGCACAUUGCGCCUUCUGGUAUUCCGGAAGGCAUGCCUGUUCGAGAGUCAUUAACAACCGUUUCGAUCCCUUUCUUUCAGAAAUUACAAAGAGGAAAAGGGUUUGGUUAUGGUGGUGGAGGGAAAGGGAGCGUUUAGCCUGUAAAAAAAGAGGCUGUGUUCCGCCUCCCCCCCAAAAUUGUACAGGCGGUCGUGUGCGCCCACGCAUCGAGGUGUUGUAAAAGCUGCCACGGCACUUUUCACCUGUGCAGUGCGAGAUUGGCCAGCCGGUUUAAAAACCCCUCCAAACAAUCAAAGGUUGACCUCGGAUCAGGUAGGGAUACCCGCUGAACUUAAGCAUAUCAAUAAGCGGAGGA
RNAcentral lists this unclassified non-coding RNA (425 nucleotides) under soil metagenome. RNAcentral's name for it is "partial contains 5.8S ribosomal RNA, internal transcribed spacer 2, and large subunit ribosomal RNA". The stretch from base 1 to 120 matches the Rfam family "5.8S ribosomal RNA", at positions 35 to 154 of the family's 154-position model. The record is from RNAcentral.